AUGAGUGAAAAAUCAUUCAAAACAGUUAAAACUAAAUUGCUAGAAUGCAACAAGUUACCAGAACCAAUAAAGGACAUAAUAAAAAUAACGAGCAACAAUUCAUUAAAAGACUUAGAUGGAAACAAUUUCAAUCAGUUAUGGAUUUUAACACAUGAUUUUGUUAAGGAAAUGACACUUGUUGACAAUAUUACACAGGAUGAAGAGUUAUUGCUAUGUUAUCAAUCAAUUUUAAAUCUUGUUAACUAUACAGUUACAUGCGCCGAUGAAGACAUAAUAGGUGCAUAUGAACAGAAUUAUUUAUUUAAAACAAUACUGGUGUUUCAAACUUUUUAUUCUACAAAUCUCAAAUAUAAGUUCAAAUUAGAUAUAGCAAAGAUGUGCUGUAGCUUCUGGCAAUUAAUAACUUCAUCACCAACACAAAAUGGAUCUGACAAUAUCAAUUUAGACUUAAUUUUAACUCAAAAUUUUGUCUUUACUUUUAAUUAUAUAUUUGAUACUAUUAAAGUGACUACUAAAAAAAUGGAUAUGAAAGUUCUAUCUACUUUACUGUGGGAAUUUUGCAAAGUUGUGAGCACUUUAUCUUCCAAUAUAAAUGGAUUGAAUUUAAUAGUUCCCAAUUUGAAAAAAUUAAUGAAGUGUCCAUUGUUUUUGGAGACUGAAACAGGAAAAUUAGCUAUCGCAGAUAUAUUUACUUGUAGUCAACAACUAUUUCAUAAAUUUCAUCAAACAGUCAAACAAAAUUUACCAAAAGCAAAAAAGUUAGAAGCUGAAUCAUAUGGAGAAAUAUAUUUUAUUUCAUGGAUAAAUUCUAAUUCAUCUAUUAGAGAAGUUAUUGAAGAACAAAUGUUUGACUUAAUAUCCAAAACAUUAACAUUAAAGCGUACAGGUUUAGCUUUUUGUACUUAUCGUAAUGCUUUAAUUCUUUUGCAAAGUUUGCAAAAUCACAGAAAACAUUUAAUGUUUAGCAAGGUCAUAACUAAACUAUAUGCUCCUGUUAUUUGGAGACAACUAACGAGUGAAUUUAGUGUGAUUAGAUGCAAUGCUACUGAUAUUUUAGCAAGAGCUUAUCCUUUAGAAAAAAGAGGAGAAGGUCGAGAAGUAUCUUCAAGGUUUUUAAUAAAACAACAAAAUGCAUUUUUGGAUUUACUAGUGGAUGUAUGUCCUCAAGUUCGAAUAGCAGCUAUAAAAGGAAUUUGUAGCUGUAUGAGAUAUUUUUGGAAUUCUUUUGAAGAUGAUCAAAUAAUUGAAUGUUUUAAAAUAUUUAUACGUUUAAUUGAUGAAAGCAUAUUUGAAGUACGAAGAGUUUUAUUUUAUGGAUUUUGUCAGUUACUUGAAGAAUUUAAAUCCCAUAGUUAUUUUAGAAACCCUUUUCUUAUUACAAAAAUGAAAAAUACAUUUCAUGAUGAGAAUGAAAAAGUUAGACGUGCUUUUAUACAUCUUCUAUUGAAAAUAAAAAAGAUUGAUUCACAGUCAGACACUAAAGAUAAAAUCAACUUUACCAAAAUAGUUGAUUUAAGAGAUAUUGCUUCUGCACUUGCUCGUGAAGAUAAGCAAAAUGGAUUUUUACUUGUUGAUUUAAUUUUUGAUAAUUUUAUUGGAAGUAAAGUGGCAGACAGACAUACAACACUUACAAGAUUUUAUACGUUUUACAAAAUUAAUCCAAAUGCUUUUCGUAAACUGAUAAUUUAUUCAGAAAAACACCUAGACUUUCAUAAUGCUUGCAAACUUAUUUUAUCAUUGUUAAAAACUAUAUAUAAUGCACUGAAAAAAAAAGAAGAACGUUUAAAAAAUUUAGACAAAGAAAAUGACAUGCCCCCAAAAAGACAUAAAUCAAAUGAUGAUUCUGAUUUAACCAAUGAUACACAUAAUUCAUCUUGCAGUUCAUCCAUUAGUAAUAAUGAAGAUGAAGAACAAAAUGAAAGUAAUAAUAUAUGUUGUGUUUUGGAUUGUGUUCACUGUCUUAUGAUACUUCAUCGUAAUGAAUUUAAGAAUGAAAAAGACCAUCAACAACUAAAAGAUAUUCAAGAUUCUUCUGUCAUAUGUUUAAUUAAAAUAUUUAAGUUCUAUAAGGAAGGUGAUGCUUACUACAGUGCAGUUAGCUUAGCAAGUUUAAUGCCUUUAUCAAAAUUGAGUGCUCAUGUAUCUAUAACAAGUACAGCAUUAUCCACCUUAAAACAAUUGCCUUAUGAUAUAAAUCAAGCAGAAGAAGAAAUUGAUAUGCGAAAAGUUAGUUGUUUGGUUUAUUCAUUAUGCAUGUGGAAACGAGGCUAUGAGAUACUUCAAUUUGUAAAUGUUUGGUUUGACGAAGCAUUCAAAACUUUAAAUCUCAAUGAAACACAAUACCCGGAUUCUAAAAUUGAUAGAGGAAAAAGGGUCAGAUUCAAAAUAAAUUUUGAUGAAUGUAAACCAUUGACUGGUAUCUUAUUAAUAAACACAAUGCUUACCAAUUUACAAACACAAAAAACACUUACAGAUUCUGAUGUCAAUAAAAAAAAUACCUACGAUCUUUUCUUGUACUUGAAGCGUGUUAAGGCAGCAAUUGAGAACCGAAUAUCUUCAGAUAAUGUUUUAAGUAACUUAUUAUCAGAUGAAGUCUUAAUUGAGUUAUUUUUACUACAUAAUCGAUUACAUUUAAUUUAUCAUAGUCAGGAAAAAAACAUUGAUGAAAUUAUAAAGUAUCAAACUUCUAUUUUAAAUUGGGUCACUAACAAUCUACUUAUUUCUGAUUUACACCAUAAAGAUAAAGCUACUAUCAAAUUUGCCGUUAAAAUAAUAGAAAUUGUUAAUAAAAUAACAUUAAAUAUGUGUUUAAUGGCUUUUGUGAAUACAACAUAUUUGGAUGAUUAUAUUACAUUUUGUGCUACUGUCUUGCAUAAUCAUUUAGGUCCUUGGCUUUUAACAUCAAUGAUCGCAACUUUAGCACAUAUCUCAAAAUAUUUUAACUAUUUAAAAUAUGUGGAUAAUCAUUUCAAUGACACAUCAAUAUUGACAAAUUGUGUGUGUAGUAUUAUAUCAGUUCUCGGUGAAUCAAAAUUUAAUGCCGAUCGUUUUAUUAGUGUUAUUGGGGAUACAAAAGCAUUUCGAAGUAACUUGAUUAUGCAGAUUUUGGAAAUUUAUAAAACAAAUACAGUGGAAUUCAAUCAAGUUUUUAUGACACUCAUUGAAACUAUUAUGAAUAUUAUUGCUAAUCAAAUUCGAGAAAUUGACGAAAUUGAUUUAAAUGAACACCUUACAGAAAUGCCAUUUGCUAGUUAUCAGUUAGCAGCGAUAAUUUUAAGCAAUACAAAGUUAAGAAAACAUUUUUCAUCUAAUGCAGUUGUAAUAUUCUCAUCUGAUGUAUUUAAAAAUGACUGUGUUUUACUGCUAUCUGCAAUCUCUUAUGUGUAUACAUUAUCAUUUCAAUUAAGUAAAACAAUAGUAAUUGAUCUUGAACCAGUUGUAAAACUGCUCUAUAAAAAUUUGAUGGAACAUAACAUAGUUAGAGCUCCGCUUGGUGAUAACUGCACUAUAAAUAAUACAAAUGCUGAACGAGGCGUAUCAAUCUUGGAAACAUCUAACUUCAGUAAUGAAAUAACAAAUUUCAAACAAAAAGGACGCAAAGUCUUGAUUGCAACUGCUAAGCAAUUGCAUGUUACUUUAUCUGAGUAAUACAAUUACAUUUUUCCCUUUACAAGGAAAAAUAGUUUUAUUAAAAAUAAAAAUAAUGUGAUAGAUUAAUAUGCAUAUAUUACUGUUUAAAACCAGCAAAGAAAUUGAUGUUUGCUAAUCUAUAUAAAUUUUUUUUUUUUUGAUUAAAUAUAAAUAAAAAUAUUUAAAAUUUUACCAUGUGUGAGAAUGUUAUGUUAUGUGCCAAAACAUCAUUACAAUACUUAUGGACAAAAAUAAGAUAUUUUUUAAACAUACUUUCAUAACUUUUUUUAUGUAUAGGUACAUAUUUAAGAUGUUGAUAAAACUGUUAACUGAAUUAACUUAUGAACAAAAAUGUGAAUUUUAAGAGACUAAUUUGCAUUAAGAGUGUAUUUUUAUUUUACUUUUAAAUAUUUUGUAUCCUACAUUACAAUGUAUAAUUAUAAAUUAUUAUUACUUAUAGACUAAACUACUCUAUAAAAAUAAUUUUAAUGAAAACCACAGAGGUGAAGACAAUAAACAGUGCAAUUCUAUUUUGAACAAAAUGGCUUUAUUGUAUUAAGGUUAAAAUAGGGAUAUUUUUCGAUUAAAAACGUUUAGGAAGCGUAGAGGCAGUCGAGAAGCUUACAACACCCUAACCUCACAAAUCACACAGUGACGCGAGUACUACCAAAGCCAGCGUAUAUUUUACCUACCACCCCAUAUCACUGUGAACUCGGUAAUUACUACGAUUUUAGCUAUGCCAAUCAAUCAUGUAAUAUCAUUAAUUAUAGAACAGACUAUUAUACAUUGUAGUCUAUUCUACUAAUUUCUAUAACCAAUGGUAAUAUUAAUUCGUCCACGGCAACUUUUCAUCACCGUCGCCACUGUCAGAUUUUCAAUAUCUCUGGCUGAAACCGAAUGCAGUGAGGGAUUAUGCAUAUAAUUUAUAAUAAUUAUUAUUGUAUUUACAUAAUAACACAUACCUACGUGAUGGAUGAUGCGAUAAAUGUAAGACACUCAUUAUUUCAUGUAAUAGGGUAACAUUUAUAAAAAUAUUUUUAUCAUGUAAUUUUAAAUCCUCA
Molecule: RNA transcript, 4691 nt
Organism: Melanaphis sacchari
Lineage: Eukaryota; Metazoa; Arthropoda; Insecta; Hemiptera; Aphididae
Gene name: condensin-2 complex subunit G2-like
Exons: 20
Source: RefSeq, a predicted model, not a curated record